GCUGGUGUUGACCUUAGACAAAGGUCGAUUUUUAUGCCCUGGUCCUGACCACAACAAAUAAUUGCUGCCCAAGUGGGGAGCUGAUGAAGUUGUGGGAGAACGGGUGAUUCUGAAAUAGCUGGGAAGUUCCUCAGAUGUCUCGAAACGAAGUACUAGGUCAACCCUAGUCUACUGUGGGGCCAUGAUAUCAUCCUUUACAGUGUCCCCAAUGCCAGGGAAAAUCUCAGAAGCUAUGACUGAUAUGCAAGACCCCAGGGCCUUGGUAUUUUAAGUCAAACAUGGAAGACCCUCACUGGGACUAGAGGCAUCUUCCCUUUCCAAUCUCUUACCUCAUGAACAAGAGAAUUGCGGCUGGGGAGAUGAUUUGCUUUGACAAUACAGAGGUACUGUUUUAAAUGGUAUCACUUCAGAUAUUCAAGGUUGUGGAGUAGGAAUAUGUUAUCAAUGGAAAAGCUUCAUCAUCGCUCUUGCCCAGGCAUUGAGUGCCCAACCCUUUAUGACUACCAAAGCUGCAUCUCUUCAUCGUGCGUACCCUGGAAAGGAGGCGGGAGAAAGGAAGAUGAUGAGGUCACCAUGUCAAGAACAGGCAAUAAAUAGAAGGUAUUGAAUGCUGAACCUAGCAGGCACUGGAGUAAGCUCUCGUGAAGCAGUGAACAAAGCAAAGAUCCUUACCACGUGCUUUACAUGGGAGUGAGUGAAAAUACACAACAAUAAAUGUAAUAAAUAAUUACACUCUGUAGAAUGUUUAAAAGAUCUUAUGGAGGGUGGAAAUAGGAAAACAAAGAAAUUUGAGGUGAUAAAGGAAUGGAUUGCAAUUUCAAAUAAGAUGGAGAGAGUGGGUGGUUGGCUCAGUGGGUUAAGCCUCUGCCUUCAGCUCAGGUCAUGA
Long non-coding RNA from Mustela erminea (ermine), 886 nucleotides. RefSeq lists it as uncharacterized. The transcript is spliced from 5 exons. The record is from RefSeq and is a predicted model, not a curated record. Lineage: Eukaryota; Metazoa; Chordata; Mammalia; Carnivora; Mustelidae.